UCCCUGAUGGUCCAGUGGUUAGGACUCCGUGCUCCCAGUGCAGAGGUCCUGGGUUUGACCCCUGGUCAGGAAA
Molecule: non-coding RNA, 73 nt
Organism: Ovis aries (sheep)
Lineage: Eukaryota; Metazoa; Chordata; Mammalia; Artiodactyla; Bovidae
Source: Rfam